This 424-nucleotide ribosomal RNA is filed under the name uncultured bacterium. Its description in RNAcentral is "partial 16S ribosomal RNA". It matches the Rfam family "Bacterial small subunit ribosomal RNA", at positions 359 to 775 of the family's 1533-position model. The record is from RNAcentral.
GAAUAUUGGACAAUGGGCGAAAGCCUGAUCCAGCCAUGCCGCGUGUGUGAAGAAGGUCUUCGGAUUGUAAAGCACGUUAAGUUGGGAGGCAGGGCAGUAAGCGAAUACCUUGCUGUUUUGACGUCACCGACCGAAUAAGCACCGGCUAACUCUGUGCCAGCCGCCUCGGUAAUACCUAGGGUGCAAGCGUUAAUCGGAAUUACUGUGCGUACAGCGCGCGUAGGUGGUUCGUUAAGUUGGAUGUGAAAUCCCCGGGCUCAACCUGGUAACUGCAUCCAAUACUGGCGAGCUAGAGUAGGGCAGACGGUUGUGGAAUUUCCUGUGUAGCGGUGACAUGCGUAGAUAUAGGAAGGAACACCAGUGGCGAAGGCGACCACCUGGGCUCAUACUGACACUGAGGUGCGAAAGCGUGGGGAGCAAACAG